AAUUUGCGUGAAGGAUUGAAGCGAUAUCCUUUUUUAUUUUUUUAAAAAAGAUUUAGCAUAAAGCCUGACUUUUA
Molecule: small RNA, 74 nt
Filed under: Xanthomarina spongicola
Lineage: Bacteria; Pseudomonadati; Bacteroidota; Flavobacteriia; Flavobacteriales; Flavobacteriaceae
Description: Formosa spongicola Flavo-1 RNA
Rfam family: Flavo-1 RNA
Source: RNAcentral